UAGGGAAUCUUCGGCAAUGGGGGGAACCCUGACCGAGCAACGCCGCGUGAGUGAAGAAGGUUUUCGGAUCGUAAAGCUCUGUUGUUAAGGAAGAACGAGUGUGAGAAUGGAAAGUUCAUGCUGUGACGGUACUUAACCAGAAAGGGACGGCUAACUACGUGCCAGCAGCCGCGGUAAUACGUAGGUCCCGAGCGUUGUCCGGAUUUAUUGGGCGUAAAGCGAGCGCAGGCGGUUAGAAAAGUCUGAAGUGAAAGGCAGUGGCUCAACCAUUGUAGGCUUUGGAAACUGUUUAACUUGAGGGCAGAAGGGGAGAGUGGAAUUCCAUGUGUAGCGGUGAAAUGCGUAGAUAUAUGGAGGAACACCGGUGGCGAAAGCGGCUCUCUGGGCUGUAACUGACGCGGAGGCUCGAAAGCGUGGGGAGCGAACAGG
RNAcentral lists this ribosomal RNA (429 nucleotides) under Bacteroidota bacterium. Its description in RNAcentral is "Bacteroidetes bacterium partial 16S ribosomal RNA". It matches the Rfam family "Bacterial small subunit ribosomal RNA", at positions 355 to 776 of the family's 1533-position model. The record is from RNAcentral. Lineage: Bacteria; Pseudomonadati; Bacteroidota.